Long non-coding RNA from Canis lupus familiaris (dog), 4139 nucleotides. RefSeq lists it as uncharacterized. The transcript is spliced from 5 exons. NCBI's taxonomy places the organism in Eukaryota, Metazoa, Chordata, Mammalia, Carnivora, Canidae. The record is from RefSeq and is a predicted model, not a curated record.
UGACCUCACCGGAGUUCAGAGCACUGCCUCCCCCCUGCUGCGCGGACACCUCUAAGGGGGGGACGGACCUGGGACAAAUGACCCCACCUAAGGCAGGGUCCUUACAGCUCCACAAACUUUCACUCUGCCCCCCUGGGGAGGGGAGAGGGUGAGGAGGGGAGGCAGGAGGGUACACGGGGUCAGCCCCUCUCCCCCCCAGGCUGAAGUUAACAGGUACCUGGGCUCCCAUUUGGGGCUCCUGGAGGCGCUGUCCCCGCCGAUGUGCCCCGGCUCCCGGGCUCCACCUGCCUCGGGUGGGCCAGGUCCCGGCCGGGCUCGGCGCCGACUUGGCCGGAGCGCCCUGGACGCAGGCCUCAGCCCCUGACAGCUGGUCCUGGGGGGCACGGCUCAGCAGAUCGGGGCGGGAGAUGGUGAAGAAGGUGACACGUGGGGGUCCAUCUGUCCAGCCAUCCCUCAUCCGUCCGUGCGUUCAUUCAAGAAACGUCUCCCCAACACCCAGGCUAAACAUACUUCAUGAACAGUGGGACCUCCCAAGCUAUAAGUUGCCAAACCACCCUGCUGUCCUGGUGGUAGAAGUUGCUUCAACAGAGAAGAAAGAAGAUAUGAGGAUGCAAGGACAAUGCCAUCCAUAAGCCAAGGAAUGCCAGAGGUCUCCAGAAGCCAGAAGGCAUGGAACAGAUUCUUCCUCACAGCUCUCAGGAAAACCAACCCUGCCGACACCUCGGUCUUGGACUUUCAGCCUCUAGAACUAAGAGACAAUAAGUAUUUGUUGUCUAAGCCCCACCAUUCUGCGGUACUUUGUAUGGCAGACCUAAGAAAUGAAUACAGAUAGUGAUUCUGUGUUUAGCUUUUGAGAAGCUUACCAAGCUCUUUUUCUUCAGAGCCUGUACUAUCUUACCUUCUUACCCACAACGUGUGUGGGGUUCCAAUUUCUCCAUGUCUUUACCAACACUUGUUUCCCUUUUUAAACAUAUUUUAGCCAUCCUACUAGGUGUGGGGUGUUAUCUCACUGUGAUCUUGAUUUGCAUUUCCCAAUGAUUAAUGGUGCUGAGCAUCUUUUCAUGCGCUUAUGGGCCAUCUGUAUACCUUGCAUUUUUAAAUCCUCUGACUGGCUCUCUGAAGCUACAGCCUGAAGGCAGCAGUCUUUCCUCCUCAGGUGGUCUCCACCAACCUCAGACUGUAAGCAUUUCCCUUUUAUUUGGAGGAAGAAGAAAAAAAGGACCAACAUGUUGCACGAUGCCUGGCAAAAGCUAGAUACCAAGCAUGCAACUGUUGAAUGAGUGAAUUAUCCAUUAAGCCCCCCUGGCCCCCACCCCUUGCACCGGGAUGGAAGGUUGAGACCCGGCUGGGACUUCAGAGCUGCUGUCGUCGGACUCUCAUUAUGGAGGAGGAAACUGAAGCCCUAGCAUCUUAAUGUUCAUCUGAUCCAGGGGCUACUGUUCCCAGAGUCCAGCCUGAGACUCGGAACCCUGCCAGGCAGACAGGACAUGACUCUGCUGCCUGUGGGCUUUCCGCUUCCCUUCUACCACACUCAAACUAGAGAGAGUACCAUGCAUCCAUGUCCUGCAGUUGGGAGCAAACAGGGCUAUUGUCUUUGUGUCUUAAACAAGGACAGAGACAUCUGUUGAACAAAUCACACCAAUGUCAUCUACGGUUUUAACUUGAGCUGGCUUAUGCUAUCCAUGGGUAGCCCCUUUUGGAAGUGUCCACAUCAAGUGGAAACCAAAGCUCUGGUUCAGGGGAGAGAGAUUUCUAAGAAUUAGCCAGGUGGUUUAAGGGCCUGACAAGUCCCAGUAAGAGAGAGUGAAAUAUAACCGUGGGCUCUCCCCGCCUGCAGCUCUCAGCGUAUCACUAACACCUUCUAGGCUGUCCUGCUGAGACUGUGUCUGCAUCAAAGCAUCCUGCACAAUGUUAUUCCUCUUGCCAGACAAACUUGAGCUGUUUUCCAAACUCAAAAUCACACCUCAGAAGAGAUUGCUUUAUCAAUUCCCUGGCAAGUACAUUUCCCGCUCUGCCGCCAACAUGUCCCCUAUAUCCUGCUAUGGAUUUAGCCCUUUGCAGACUUUUUUAGUCUAUUUAGAAAAAAAAAUGUACCUUGGAGAUAAAAAGUAGGUUAAAGAGAGGAAAUGACCAUGGAAAUGCAAAAAACCAAAAGGCAGUGACCGGCAUGUUAAAAGUCAAUAAAAUGCCAUUUGAAAGGUUCUUUUUCAUACUCACUUGUAACAAGUCCAAGGGAUUAACUGAGACCCCCACCUCCCCCGGCAGUGUUAAUACUCAGUGGAAAGAGUGUUUUUACAAGUGGGCUCCAUUUGUAAUGACAUUCUGAAACAUGAAACCCUGCAGCUAAUUUCACUGUUACCUGGACGUGCAUAUUUAUGAGCUCCAGAACCAGGUUUCUCCCGCAUGUGUCUGUUAUUGCCUCCCCAUUUUCCAUCUUGGGGAUCAGAGCUGGUGUCAACUGUUGGACAGUCGGGACAGCUCUUAGAUUUAUGAAUUUUCUUUUUUCCUUAAAAAAAAUCACUGCAGCAGACCAGCAUUCAGGAAGGUGAAGGAAACAGGAGAGGAUCCCAUGGUUUGUGGAGCUUUGGGGACAUCGAUAAGUCUGUUUGUAGCUAAUUUCCAAUUUAGGAGGAGCCAGAAGCCAGACUUGGAAUGCAGUAAUAUGAUGACAGCUAAUAUCAGUCUUUUGGACAAACGAUAAUUGGUCAAGUGAACUUCAAAGUGUGGGUUUAAAAAAGACACCCCACUAUAUAUAACAAAGUGAAUAGCAGACAGUUGGAAGAUUGAAACAUAAAAAUCAGCUACGUUAUAUAUGCUGCCUCAUGGUGACAAGGUGGCUGCACACCUUCAGCAUCACAUCUGUAUUUCAGGCACUGAUAAAAAGCUGCUAAAAUGACUUCCUAGAAGCCUUCGAAACUGCUGCUUAUAUUUGAUUGGUCCAAAUCUGGGUGUGAGGGAUGCUAGGAAAUAGAAAUGUCUUUAUCUGAGUACUACUCCCAAACAAAACUGGAGUUCUCUGUUAGUAAGAACAAAUGGUAGAAAGGAUAACAGGUCCACAACUAGUAGCAUCUUCCCAGUGUCUUACUAAUUGUUUAAGAAGAUAGAAACAAGAAUAACAUGUAAGUUCUAGGACUGAGAGACUAAGAGGAUAAAGACAUCAUUCCCCCCACCCCAAGCCCAGCACUUCUGGGGGGUAAAUCCCUUCUCUUUCUACCAUGUUGUUUGAGACACCUAGGAGACUUCUGCAUAGAGAAAUUGAGGAGGCAGUGGAUUGUGCAUACCUGGAACUCCAGGGAGAUUCAGAUUUGAGAGAGGGCGGCAUAUGAACGAAAUUUUGAAAUCAUGGACUGGAUGAAAUCACCUGGCAAGGAAGAGAAGAAAGUCAAGGAAAGAUUUGGGUCUGGGAGGGAAGAAGAGCAAGGAGGCUGCACUAGGGCAAGCUGUGCGUGGGGAGGGACAAGGUGACCUGGUGUCUGCAGGCCUAGGAAAGAGGGCUCCGGGAGGGAGUGAUCCACCAUGGGACACGACUGCUGGGACAGUUAGAGGAAGACAGAAAACUGACCAAUGGUUUUGGCAAAGUGGAAGCCAUGUGGGACCCUGAGAAAAACUUUUAAUGGCUGCCUGGUGGAUUUAGCGUGCUUUACUUACCCAUUCCCCUAACCACAUAUGCUUGGGUCAUCCUUUUUCUUCCUUUUUCUGUUUUGCUGAUGACAACAAUGCUACAAUGGGUAUCUUGUGCUAUGUUCUGCUCACAUGUGAUAGUAUUUUUUUUUUAUAAGGCCUAGAAAUUACGGAGCCAAAAGGCACGCAUGAGUUAAAUUAUAGUCCAUAUUGUCAAAGGUCUACUAAAUGGUCCUGAGUCAAACUCCUGCCAACCAUGUAUGUGCCAGUUUAACACAAAGGUAAAUCUUUCGUAAGCUGAUGAAACAUACUUGCUUUCAUUUGAAUUUCAUUGAUUACUUCUUUUAUUGAUCAUGUGUAUUCAUAUCUUCCCCCUCAUUUUUCUUUUCACCUCUUUGUUCUUGUUGACUUAUCAGAGCUCCUUUACAUAUGUAAUUUUUUCCAGUUUAUGGUUUUCCUUGAUUUUUGAAGUGUUUUUUUUUUCCUUAUCUAAUAAAUGCAGAAUUCAAAGUUGACUA